CUCUCUCUCUGCCGAUGGAGAAACAAUCGAAGAUUUCAAUUUGAAUCCUUCGAUUAAAGGAGAAUUGAGUAUGAAAUUGUGUUCUCUGAGUGUUUGUUCCGCCGGUUUCAUCAUCCCCACCGACGUUGGUCACCAUCAUCAAUGACAGGUUCACCAAAUCGGAGAUUUGAAACUUGAAAUCACAGAGUUUUCGUUCAAGGAAGCUUCAAGAAUUUUCUUAUAGUUAAUUUGCAGAAACUGCAAUUGGAAAUGAUGUGGUACUCGUUUCACCAAUGAAGCAAGGAUGGUGUAAUGGGGUGUGGUUCCCUCGCGCCACCCCCAAAUAUUCUUUUUGUGUUUGGUUGGCUUUCCAAAACAGGCUUUGGACAGGGGAUCAGCUGCUGCAGUAGAACACGAGAGCUGCUGCAACUUGCAUCCUCUGUAAAAAUGCGAUUGAGACGAGGGAUCACCUCUUCUUCUGUUGUACUUUCAGCGCUGGUGUUUGGGAGGACCUUGCUUCACCUAUCUAUACCACUCGAUAUUCUACAGAUUGGAGAACUAUUGUUGAAUGCACCUCCCAUCACUAGACAGGCCGAACGAUGGGUUUUCUUGCGCGAUACAUCUUGCAGGCGGUCGUUUACACCCUUUGGCAGGAGCGGAAUGAUCGCCGUCACGGUACUUCCCCCACUCCCCAAGCUCAGCUUACACACCGGAUUGACCACCAAGUCCGUAAUCAGCUACUUACAAUCCAGCUCGGAGGUGACACAAGGUACAUGGAUGGAAUCGAGAAAUGGCUUGCUUCCCGUUUUUAAUUAUCUCUGGAUAACGAUUCCUCUGUUCUGUAUCAGUCUAUGUCAUAAACGUUGCACUUGAUGUACAAACGCUGUUUCUUUUUGAAAUCUAA
This is a long non-coding RNA of Camelina sativa (false flax), 883 nucleotides long. RefSeq lists it as uncharacterized. The record is from RefSeq and is a predicted model, not a curated record. Lineage: Eukaryota; Viridiplantae; Streptophyta; Magnoliopsida; Brassicales; Brassicaceae.